UACGGGGGGAGCAAGCGCUGUUCGGAUUUACUGGGCGUAAAGGGCGCGUAGGCGGCCAGCACAGGUCAGUUGUGAAAUCUCCGAGCUUAACUCGGAAAGGUCAACUGAUACUGUGCGGCUAGAGUGCAGAAGGGGCAACUGGAAUUCUUGGUGUAGCGGUGAAAUGCGUAGAUAUCGUAAGGAAGACCAGUGGCGAAGGCGAAUCUCUGGACAGUUACUGACACUGAGGCACGAAGGCCAGGGCAGCAAACGGG
Molecule: ribosomal RNA, 254 nt
Filed under: uncultured bacterium
Lineage: Bacteria
Description: partial 16S ribosomal RNA
Rfam family: Bacterial small subunit ribosomal RNA
Source: RNAcentral